RNAcentral lists this ribosomal RNA (267 nucleotides) under unidentified soil organism R6-103. Its description in RNAcentral is "partial 16S ribosomal RNA". It matches the Rfam family "Bacterial small subunit ribosomal RNA", at positions 505 to 771 of the family's 1533-position model. The record is from RNAcentral.
GUGACAGCAGCCGCGGUAAUACAGAGGUCUCAAGCGUUGUUCGGAUUCAUUGGGCGUAAAGGGUGCGUAGGUGGCGAUGUAAGUCGGGCGUGAAAUCCCGGGGCUCAACCCCGGAACUGCGUUCGAUACUGCUUUGCUUGAGGACUGGAGAGGAGACUGGAAUUCACGGUGUAGCAGUGAAAUGCGUNGAUAUCGUGAGGAGCACCGGUGGNGAAGGCGGGUCUCUAGACAGCUCCUGACACUGAGGUACGAAGGCCAGGGGAGCAA